Molecule: long non-coding RNA, 2704 nt
Organism: Vidua chalybeata
Lineage: Eukaryota; Metazoa; Chordata; Aves; Passeriformes; Viduidae
Exons: 2
Source: RefSeq, a predicted model, not a curated record
CACUGGUACCUUUGGGCACUCUGGAAGGUUUGGCUGCCUGUGUCUCCCAGUCUGGGAGCACUUGGAACAACCUGAUUUUGCCAGAGAUCCCUUCCCCUGACACAAGAUUUGUUAACUGGAGCCAAUAGGCACCCAGCUGCAGAGAGAAGAUGAUCUUCAUCACCCUUAAGCACCAGGAAAGGAAUUUCCAGAUGGAAUUAGCAAAGCCUCCACCCCUACAGUCCAAGCAGUUGCUGAGUAUCAUUAAUCAUUCCAUCAAAUGGAGCAUUCACCACCCUCCUGGUAAGAGCAGGUUGCUGGAAAACAUUCCUCAUUACAAUUCCUAUUUGGCAUUGCACUGCAAUACAUCUGGCAACAGUGUUUGGGGUUGAUGUUUAACUAAACUACAUGUACAGGCAGUUGGUGUAAGUACAAUGCAGAAUACCUGUACAUUUAUCUGUGUUUAUCAGCUCUCCUUCCUGUGACCUAUUAGUACUUAAAUACCAUAUCAGAUACCUGCAUAUAUUAUAUACACCAGACUCACCACACUACACAUGGUAAUCAUGGUAAAUCUGCCCAAAGCAGCAAAUAACAACCAGCAGCAGACACAGAACACCUUCACAACUGCUUCCUUUUUGGCUCCAUGCCUACUCUGCACUGCAAGAGCUGCUGCACCAGAGUUGGUUAACAUUUGCACUUGCACAGCUCCUGGAAGAUGAAGGCACUCAAAUAGAGAAAUUAAUAUUCACAGGAGAGCUGUCAGGGGAAAAGGAAGAGUUUUCCCUAAGGUGCACUGUUUCAGUACAGUGUGUUUGACUGGCACUUGGGCUCCUUUCCUUCACAGGGAGAAAUGGGAGAGGCAUAAUCUGUUUGUACUCUGAUUUUCCCCAUCCAAUUAGAACAUCCUUUCAAAGUAUUCCUGUUGUAGGUAGGCAGGAUAAUCUGAUAGAUUUCCAGAGAUGUGGCCUGUCUUGUGCCACCUUCCAGCAGGAGAGGCUUCCCAGGAGAAAGCAGUGUUGUCUCCCAGAGGAGGGGGAAGGACAGCCACAGGCUUCUCACAUGCCUGAUCUCGCAGGAGUGAACCAGGUUGAUGGACAACUUCUAAAUACAGCAAGAUCCUCAGAUGAAGGCUGGCCAGAGAAGUCCAUCUGUGCCUCCCUGGCUUUGGCUGAGCUCCGAGUGCAGCCAACACUGAAAGGGAGAACAAAGCCUUGGAUUUGCAAGGGGACCUCAAGGCCCUCUCAAGCCUCUGCAGAGCGAAGUGUACACAUGAUAAGCCAGGAGAGCCAUUCCAUGCUGCAGUCACAUGCCAUGUGGAAGCUAUAAUCUCACGAGGACACAGAUACGGCCAUGCAAAUAUGGGUUAUGGCUGUGCUAACAUCCAGCUCAUGUCCCUGGAGCUCCUAAAUGGCUUUAAUCUGGCUGCUAAUGCAGGUGAAAGCUUGUGCUGGAGAAGCUUCAUUUCUCCUGGCUCUGAUCAGCCAGGAACAUGCUACCCUUUGGCACCUUGACUGGAGAGGUGAGGACAUAAGCUGGCUACUCCUUGGUUUCAGUCUUUGCAGGUGAGGAGGAGAGGAGCUGUCUGUCACAGCGGGGACAGGUGACAUGACCUGCAGGCAGCAGGCAUGACGAGAGGGUGGUUGGGAAACCAGCUGCAUUUUCAACACCCCCUUCAACCAAACCACUUCUAACAGAGUCCUCACAACAACCAGGCUGAGGCAGCACAGCUACACUCACAGCUAUCACCUCUGCUUCCCUCUGCACAGUUUAUCUUGUGUAAAGUAACACCUAACACUGUCAAAUCCUAGUGUGGGUUAAACAAUGGUAACAUACCUCAGAUGGUCCAAGCAGACCUCACUGCAAAGUUAGCAAGAAAUUGCCUUUGCAUCUGCUCAGCAUCUGCCUGUGAAAGGCUCCUGCAUCCAGAGCUGACAGCAAAAUUCAGACAAGGGGCAGGAAGAAAGCAGACACAGGAGGGAAAAUGCCACAGACAUCUCAAGGGGGAGGGUUUGUCUUAAUGGAUUUUUCUCAUUAUUGACUUCAGCCAUGAGUAAAAGCCAAGCUUCCCUAAGACAGCCUGAGAACAAGAACCUGCCUCUGUUUUAAGACCCACCUUCCCAAGGUGAUACCUGCUCUGGGCAUUUGGCUCAGCAGGAGCUCAGCACCAGCUGCACGAGGAAUUCCUGACCAAGAUCAUCCCAACUUCUGCCAAGAGCAGUGCUGGGCCCGAGAGGCCUCAGAGAGAGGGGCCUUUGUGCAGCCCUGGGACGACUGUGGGUGCCAGAAGCGACCUGGCACAGGAGCACAGCUGAGUCACAGCUGCAGCAAUUGCACCAAUUGUCCCAGGGACACAACAAUUGCACUUGUCUGACUGGUCAGGCCGUGACGGCAGCACAGGGCAGUUCUCUUUGUGAAAGCAUUUCGCCUGGAAGUAAAUUUCCAAAACAAAAUCCCUUUAACUCCAAGCCUUUCCAGGCUUCUCCCUGGCAGGGGCAGUUUACUGAGAGAUGUCAUGCAGGAGAAAGAAAUGCCACUGCUGUUGGCUUUCACCAUCACCUGUGAAGGAGAUAACCCUGAAUCCCCAUUACACUGGGAUGGAAUUCAGGUCUCAGCUCCAGCCAGCUCCCCUAAGAACACCCAAGGUGCAGCCCAAGGUCCCUGUUCUCCAUCAGAAUAAAAGGGUUUUUUUCCCCCCAUCAGAAUAAAAGUUUAUUUUUUGUGCAAA